CCUACGGGUGGCAGCAGUGAGGAAUAUUGGUCAAUGGACGAGAGUCUGAACCAGCCAAUUAGCGUGAAGGAUGACUGCCCUAUGGGUUGUAAACUUCUUUUAUAUGGGAAUAAAAUGUUCCACGUGUGGGAUUUUUUAUGUACCAUAUGAAUAAUGAUCGGCUAACUCCGUGCCAGCAGCCGCGGUAAUCCGGAGAAUCCGAGCGUUAUCCGGAUUUAUUGGAUUUAAAGGGAGCGUAGGUGGAUUGUUAAGUCAGUUGUGAAAGUUUGCGGCUCAACCGUAAAAUUGCAGUUGAAACUGGCAGUCUUGAGUACAGUAGAGGUGGGCGGAAUUCGUGGUGUAGCGGUGAAAUGCUUAGAUAUCACGAAGAACUCCGAUUGCGAAGGCAGCUCACUGGACUGCAACUGACACUGAGGCUCGAAAGUGUGGGUAUCAAACAGGAUUAGAUACCCGGGUAGUC
RNAcentral lists this ribosomal RNA (460 nucleotides) under uncultured bacterium. RNAcentral describes it as "partial 16S ribosomal RNA". It matches the Rfam family "Bacterial small subunit ribosomal RNA", at positions 338 to 795 of the family's 1533-position model. The record is from RNAcentral.